CCUACGGGAGGCUGCAGUGGGGAAUAUUGGACAAUGGGGGGAACCCUGAUCCAGCGACGCCGCGUGAGUGAAGAAGUAUCUCGGUAUGUAAAGCUCUAUCAGCAGGGAAGAAAGAAAUGACGGUACCUGACUAAGAAGCCCCGGCUAACUACGUGCCAGCAGCCGCGGUAAUACGUAGGGGGCAAGCGUUAUCCGGAUUUACUGGGUGUAAAGGGGGCGUAGACGGCUGAGCAAGUCUGAAGUGAAAGGCGGGGGCCCAACCCCCGGACUGCUUUGGAAACUGUAUAGCUAGAGUGCAGGAGAGGUAAGUGGAAUUCCGAGUGUAGCGGUGAAAUGCGUAGAUAUUAGGAGGAACACCAGUGGCGAAGGCGGCUUACUGGACUGUAACUGACGUUGAGGCUCGAAAGCGUGGGGAGCAAACAGGAUUAGAUACCCCUGUAGUC
Molecule: ribosomal RNA, 443 nt
Filed under: uncultured bacterium
Lineage: Bacteria
Description: partial 16S ribosomal RNA
Rfam family: Bacterial small subunit ribosomal RNA
Source: RNAcentral